UGAUGAUUCCUAUCAAUUACAAUGCAAAGGGCUAUUUAUAUCAUUCACUAACUAUUUAGUCAUAGCAUAGGAUUUUCUAUGUGCUUCUCUAUUGAAUAUUAACUGUUGAGGUUAGACUGUCAUUGUCUUAAACUUCAAGUAUUCUGUGUGUUGUGUACAUAUGUUUUCUUUUUCUUUUUUCUUUUUCUUCUUUAUACUCUGAACAUUUUUGUCUCAGCUUCUGAAUGCUUAACAUCUUAAAGGGUGAUGCGCAAGUGUAUUUCAACGGUGCAUGAAAAAAAUUUGGUCCUAAAUGGAACAGCCUGGAGUGUGAAAAGAUCAUUGAACUGGCCUCGGGUAGAUUGGGAUCAAGGGUUAUUUGAUGUGCUUGUCUUUGAAAUGUUACGCACUUCUCGUAAAAAUAUAAAAUUUAUUUAGCAGACAGAGACAGAGAAAAGUUGGUUUUAGUAUUUUAUGCUGAAAAUACAUGGUUUGGGUUGCCCUCUCUAAAGUUCUUUCCUUUGAAUUUUCUCCAUCUUUAGAGUUAAAUUUGAAUGUUAAAAAUUGUCUGCAUAGGUGCUACAAGUACGUCAGCUUCU
This 578-nucleotide unclassified non-coding RNA is filed under the name Hevea brasiliensis (rubber tree). The record is from RNAcentral. Lineage: Eukaryota; Viridiplantae; Streptophyta; Magnoliopsida; Malpighiales; Euphorbiaceae.